RNAcentral lists this ribosomal RNA (494 nucleotides) under uncultured bacterium. RNAcentral describes it as "partial 16S ribosomal RNA". It matches the Rfam family "Bacterial small subunit ribosomal RNA", at positions 29 to 505 of the family's 1533-position model. The record is from RNAcentral.
ACGAACGCUGGCGGCGUGCCUAAUACAUGCAAGUUGAGCGAUGAAGAUUGGUGCUUGCACCAAUUUGAAGAGCAGCGAACGGGUGAGUAACGCGUGGGGAAUCUGCCUUUGAGCGGGGGACAACAUUUGGAAACGAAUGCUAAUACCGCAUAACAACUUUAAACAUAAGUUUUAAGUUUGAAAGAUGCAAUUGCAUCACUCAAAGAUGAUCCCGCGUUGUAUUAGCUAGUUGGUGAGGUAAAGGCUCACCAAGGCGAUGAUACAUAGCCGACCUGAGAGGGUGAUCGGCCACAUUGGGACUGAGACACGGCCCAAACUCCUACGGGAGGCAGCAGUAGGGAAUCUUCGGCAAUGGACGAAAGUCUGACCGAGCAACGCCGCGUGAGUGAAGAAGGUUUGCGGAUCGUAAAACUCUGUUGGUAGAGAAGAACGUUGGUGAGAGUGGAAAGCUCAUCAAGUGACGGUAACUACCCAGAAAGGGACGGCUAACUACG